GUUACAAAAUUUUCAUAAACAAUUUUUUUUUUUUUGUAUUUUUAUAAACAAAAAUUUUGACAUGCAGUCCUAUAAAUAAAUUAGAGACCUAAUUGAAGGGGCCAAGAAUGCAGCACUAGAGAUCUCCAUUCUGCAAAAAUGAAGCCCUUUCACUUUCUUAUCGUAUGCAUCCUUUUCUCUUCUUUGCUUCUCAUUCCUUCUCCAUCUGUGGCUCGAGAGCUUGCUCACAACGAUGAAAAUGGAGGUAAAAAAGCUGAAGUUCUGCUGGAGAAAGAAAGUGUAAGUGAAGCAACAGGAGGAAGCAACGUUGGAGAUGCAGUACCAACAUGUACCCGUCGUCAGAGUCCAUCUUAUAGAUGCAAAUGCCCUGUCUACAGACCUAGAUGCUAAUUAAGCAACAAAAGAACAGUAUAUAUUACAGUAUACAAAGCAAAGUGGUUCCUUGUAUUAUUCUAAUUAAUAUUUACGUUGGCUUUGCAAUGGUGAGUUGUAAGUGUUUCUCCCUCAUGUAUUACUGUAUUUGCUCCCAGUAAAGGAUGGUUGUUUGACAGAAUUCAACUUGUUUA
Jatropha curcas is the source of this 566-nucleotide long non-coding RNA. RefSeq lists it as uncharacterized. The record is from RefSeq and is a predicted model, not a curated record. Lineage: Eukaryota; Viridiplantae; Streptophyta; Magnoliopsida; Malpighiales; Euphorbiaceae.